GCGCUCGUAGCUCAUUUGGAUAGAGUACAGCCCUCCGAAGGCUGGGGUGGUGGGUUCGAAUCCCGCCGAGCGCACCA
RNAcentral lists this transfer RNA (77 nucleotides) under Sideroxydans sp. Its description in RNAcentral is "tRNA-Arg". It matches the Rfam family "tRNA". Rfam says of the family: Transfer RNA (tRNA) molecules are approximately 80 nucleotides in length. Their secondary structure includes four short double-helical elements and three loops (D, anti-codon, and T loops). The record is from RNAcentral. Lineage: Bacteria; Pseudomonadati; Pseudomonadota; Betaproteobacteria; Nitrosomonadales; Gallionellaceae.